ACAACCGGGGUACGCGUCCCGAUCUCUGGGUCGAGAUGUUCGCCUCCGGAGACCGUCAGUCGCUCCAGGCCACUGACAUGCUUCGCACGAACGAAUGGGUUCAUCUGGCCGUGGUCGUCGGGCCGGAUGAUCUGAAACUCCACUUCAACGGAGCCCUGCUGUCGGACCGUUUGGUGCCGGGACCGCGGAUACGUUUCGAUCCGCGGAGUUCACUCGAAGCAAUUUCCUGGGCCGGUCCAAUGCGAAGGUGAUCUUUGAACAGGACGGGAACUUUGAUGGGCGGAUCGAUGAAGUCCGGGUCUGGAAGGGAAAACGCACCGAGGCGCAAAUUCGGGGGACGAUGCUCGAGGCGCUCAGCGGGCGCGAGCCGGGGUUGCUGGCGCUGUGGAAUUUCGAGAGCGUCACCAACAAUGUGGUCAAGGACCCUGUCGCCCGGCGGGCACGGACGCCAGGCUGGCGGGGGGUGCCCGAGUUACCGAAGCUUCGCUUCCCGGCGCGGCGAGCCUGGCCCGGCUGGACACCGUGCUUCAACUUCCGGGCGCAAACAGCUACGUCGAACUGCCGCCCGAUAUCUUCAACGACCUGGAUCAUUCCACGUUCGAGGCGUGGGUGAAGUGGGAACAUCUGGGAGGACCGGGCUGGAAUCGGGCCUUUAAUUACGGCAGCGCCAGGCAGGAUGUGUCGAUUGGCACCCGGGGCGCAGACGGACUCUGGUUUGUUGUUUCAGAUGGCGAAGCACGGCAGUUGCACGAGAUCAUCGCUCCGGGAGUGCUGACGACCGGCGAGUGGGUUCAUGUUGCCGGAAUUUCCGGCAAAAACGGCAUGCGGCUCUACGUGUCCGGUCGCCUCGCCGGCACCAACGCUUACACGGGCAGCUUUUCCGCACUGAAGAGCGGCAAAUUCAACCGGCUGGGCAAGACCGUCACUCCGGAUGCUAACGAUCCGUCGUUUCAGGGGCAGAUCGACGAAGUGAGAGUCUGGCGGGGCGAACGGACGGAAUCGCAAAUCCGCGAGAACAUGUUCAAGCAGUUGUCGGGAUCGGAGCCGGGGUUGGCCGCUCUUUGGAACUUUGAUCAUGUCGAGGACCGUCUGGCACGGGACGCCGGUCCCGGCGGCCACCCACGGGCGAUUGGCGGGGUCCGCAUCGACGGGUGCGAGUCGGCUGCCCGGCGCAGCGGAGAUGCCUUCCAUUCUGGAAGGGACUGUUCUGAACGCGACCGGCGGCCAGGCCCCAUUUGCGAGGGUGAUCUUGAUCGUGAACGGCCAUAUCCACCGCCUGGCCAGCGCUGACCUCGAGGGAAAUUUCCAGUUCCGCCUGCGUGGGACCCUGGGGCCGCAAGUCUUCGCCUUGAAGAACAAGAGGAUCGCGAAACUGGCUGAGUGCCACGUGGAGCCGUUCGGCACGACGCGGGUUGACAUGAAGCUGGGUGGCAGCGAACCAGACCCCGCACUCGUGUCCGAACUCAAGGCGGUCCUCGUCGAGGGACCUCUCGACAAAACGCGUCCCGAUCAUGAGCUUGCCGCCGCCGCCCUGACGGAGCUUCAAGUCCCGGAUCCGAGUGUGGUGGCCGCGCUGGUCAGCGUUCUCGACAGCCCGCGUGCCUCCGCCCGGGACGCCGCGCUCAGCGCUCUCGCGGAGCUGCCGAUCCCCGCCUCCUUGCAGCCGGUCUAUGAAAAGCGGAGCCGGGCGAUGGCCUACCUCUUCGGCGGACUGCUGAUUCCGUUCGCCGCGUUUCAUCUCCUCCUGUUCGCUUUUUUUCCAAAGGUGCGAAGCAACCUCUACUUCGCCGCCUAUGCCGCCACGGCUGCCUGGGGCAUCAUCCAGGAAGUGGGGAUGGACGCCGCUUCUCUGAGCGGGGCCGAUCUCACCCCCGUCCUGGUCCUCGGCAUCGCCAACUCCCUGUUCGGGCUCCGCCUGCUCUAUUCGUUUUUUUACAAUCGGUUGCCGCGGUUGUUUUGGGUCUUCCUCAUAGCCGGCGCGCUGGGCGCAUUGCCUGCGAUUCUGACGCAAUCGAGCGUGCCCUUGAUGGAAGUUUUCCGCCGUCCCGGCUCGCUGGAUGCAAGGGGGCUGACGUUCCUGCUCUCGGUGGCGAUCGUUGGGCUGGCAUCACUCGCCACCGGAGUCGAGAUGUUCCGGGUGGUGGUGCUGGCAGUCAUCCGCAGGAAGCGGGGAGCCCGGAUCAUCGGCGCGGGAUGAUGGCUAAUUUCCUCUUCCCGGUCGCGGCCGCCCUUGGCAACGCGUUUUUCGAGGACUUUUUGCGGGACCUUCUCGGGUACCCGGUCUGGGAGUACCUCUCGAACAUGGGCGCCGUCGUGUUCGCCGGGUGCGCGUCCCUUUACCUCGCGGGCGACUUCGCCCGGACCUAUCGCAAUCUCGCCAGCGCAAAGGAGGAGAUCGAACGAAAAAACCGCGAUCUGGCCGCUGCCAGCCGCGAUGCCGAGGAAGCGCGGGCGGUUGCCGACGAGGCGAACAAAGCCAAAAGCGCUUUUCUGGCCAACAUGUCGCACGAGUUGCGCACGCCGCUCAACGCCAUCAUUGGAUACAGCGAGAUGCUCGAGGAAACAGCGGAAGACUUGAACCAGCCGGAGUUCAUCCCUGACCUCGGGAAGAUUCACGGCGCGGGCAAGCACCUCCUCGGCCUGAUCAACGACAUCCUCGACCUCUCGAAGGUCGAAGCCGGCAAGAUGACGCUGUAUCUCGAGGAGUUCGACGUGGCCGGACUCCUGCAGGAGGUCGCCGCGACGGUGCAACCGCUGAUCACGAGGAACGGCAACGCGUUGGUAGUCGAGUGCCCCGCGCAAAUCGGCACGAUGCGGGCCGACAUCACCAAGCUCCGCCAGACGCUUUUCAAUUUGCUGAGCAACGCGAGCAAGUUCACCGAGAAGGGAACGAUCCGACU
Molecule: unclassified non-coding RNA, 2900 nt
Filed under: uncultured fungus
Lineage: Eukaryota; Fungi
Description: sequence contains 18S rRNA gene, ITS1, 5.8S rRNA gene, ITS2, 28S rRNA gene
Source: RNAcentral